AACCUUGCCGUGGCUACUAGCUGUUAUGGCUAUAGUCUCCCUCCACUGUCAGUAGCAAUGAAGCCUCUGAAUAUCAGUUGGUGAGGAUCACAGACUGUGCUAGAUGCUGCACAGAACCUAGAACAGAUGUCACCCCUGCCUAGAAGGACUUAAAGGAAGGUGGAAGUUACUUCAGGCAUGAAGAACUGCAGAGAGACAGAAAGGGGUAAACAGAGACUAAGGAGGUUGUUCCCAGACGGAGGCUGUGCGUCAUUUUACCAAUUAACAGCUUGGGACUAGUUUACUUGAGGGAUCGAGCUUGCACUUUCACAAGUGCCAGAUAAUCUGCAUUUCAUACCUAUGAUAAAGCAAUCUCUAAGUGUGUAGCACUGCAGUUUUACAGUUUCAGCACCAGCAAGUCCAUCCCAACACGUAGGAGCGAAAGCCUCUACAACAGAAGAGCAUACAUAGAGAUGGUUCCAUAUUCCCAUCCUACUGAAAGCAGGCCCAUUGAAGUCAAUGGGACUACUCUAAGUAUGUUGGGAAUCUAGAUCUGACCCAUUAUCUGAAAACAAAGUAUUUUUUUUGCUUCAGAAGUAUUCCCCCCCCCAUAUACAAAUGCAUGUGAAUUUAAUUGACUGGCUAACGGAUUAAUCUAAUUAAAUAUAAGAUUAACUGAGAUUUAUUUAAUCAGGUGAGAGAGAAAUGACAACAACAACAACAAUAAUGGAGUUUCUCCUAUGUGGUGCAUUUCAAGAUUUCAAAACACUUCACAAACAUUGGCUCAGGCAAUGAAUUGGGUUUGCUGCUGGCAGCCCUGGAGCCAAAUAUGGCCUCUUGAGAGUGCCAGCUACUCCAUCAGUUGCCAACUUGACUUCUUUUCUUUGCCCAUUGUCAGAAAUAGACUUCUAAGGAAUGAGAAUGAGGUAGGUGC
Long non-coding RNA from Podarcis raffonei (Aeolian wall lizard), 913 nucleotides. RefSeq lists it as uncharacterized. The record is from RefSeq and is a predicted model, not a curated record. Lineage: Eukaryota; Metazoa; Chordata; Lepidosauria; Squamata; Lacertidae. The transcript is spliced from 3 exons.